UACGUAGGUGGCAAGCGUUGUUCGGAAUUAUUGGGCGUAAAGAGCUCGUAGGUGGUUCGGUAAGUCAGGUGUGAAACCUCCAGGCUCAACCUGGAGACGCCACUUGAUACUGCUGUGACUGGAGUCCGGUAGGGGAGCGUGGAAUUCCUGGUGUAGCGGUGAAAUGCGCAGAUAUCAGGAGGAACACCAGCGGCGAAGGCGGCGCUCUGGGCCGGUACUGACACUGAGGAGCGAAAGCGUGGGUAGCAAACAGG
Molecule: ribosomal RNA, 254 nt
Filed under: uncultured bacterium
Lineage: Bacteria
Description: partial 16S ribosomal RNA
Rfam family: Bacterial small subunit ribosomal RNA
Source: RNAcentral